Molecule: ribosomal RNA, 947 nt
Filed under: Salmonella enterica subsp. enterica serovar Weltevreden
Lineage: Bacteria; Pseudomonadati; Pseudomonadota; Gammaproteobacteria; Enterobacterales; Enterobacteriaceae
Description: partial 23S ribosomal RNA
Rfam family: Bacterial large subunit ribosomal RNA
Source: RNAcentral
GCUUAUGCGUUGUUGGGUAGGGGAGCGUUCUGUAAGCCUGUGAAGGUGGCCUGUGAGGGUUGCUGGAGGUAUCAGAAGUGCGAAUGCUGACAUAAGUAACGAUAAAGCGGGUGAAAAGCCCGCUCGCCGGAAGACCAAGGGUUCCUGUCCAACGUUAAUCGGGGCAGGGUGAGUCGACCCCUAAGGCGAGGCCGAAAGGCGUAGUCGAUGGGAAACGGGUUAAUAUUCCCGUACUUGGUGUUACUGCGAAGGGGGGACGGAGAAGGCUAUGUUGGCCGGGCGACGGUUGUCCCGGUUUAAGCGUGUAGGUGUGUGUUCCAGGUAAAUCCGGUUCACUUUAACACUGAGGCGUGACGACGAGGCACUACGGUGCUGAAGCAACAAAUGCCCUGCUUCCAGGAAAAGCCUCUAAGCAUCAGGUAACAUCAAAUCGUACCCCAAACCGACACAGGUGGUCAGGUAGAGAAUACCAAGGCGCUUGAGAGAACUCGGGUGAAGGAACUAGGCAAAAUGGUGCCGUAACUUCGGGAGAAGGCACGCUGACAUGUAGGUGAAGUGAUUUACUCAUGGAGCUGAAGUCAGUCGAAGAUACCAGCUGGCUGCAACUGUUUAUUAAAAACACAGCACUGUGCAAACACGAAAGUGGACGUAUACGGUGUGACGCCUGCCCGGUGCCGGAAGGUUAAUUGAUGGGGUCAGCGCAAGCGAAGCUCCUGAUCGAAGCCCCGGUAAACGGCGGCCGUAACUAUAACGGUCCUAAGGUAGCGAAAUUCCUUGUCGGGUAAGUUCCGACCUGCACGAAUGGCGUAAUGAUGGCCAGGCUGUCUCCACCCGAGACUCAGUGAAAUUGAACUCGCUGUGAAGAUGCAGUGUACCCGCGGCAAGACGGAAAGACCCCGUGAACCUUUACUAUAGCUUGACACUGAACAUUGAGCCUUGAUGUGUAG